AACGCCUAGUAAUGACCACAACCAUUAUUAUUACCGACAUCGCUAUUGUUGGGGCAGGCUGCUAAGCGAAAGAAAUUUUAAAAAAAGGCCUGUAUCCCACCAGAUACAGGCCUUUUUUUA
This is a non-coding RNA of Vibrio tubiashii ATCC 19109, 120 nucleotides long. The record is from Rfam. NCBI's taxonomy places the organism in Bacteria, Pseudomonadati, Pseudomonadota, Gammaproteobacteria, Vibrionales, Vibrionaceae.